UACGAAGGGUGCUAGCGUUGCUCGGAAUCACUGGGCGUAAAGGGUGCGUAGGCGGGUCUUUAAGUCAGGGGUGAAAUCCUGGAGCUCAACUCCAGAACUGCGUUUGAUACUGAAGAUCUUGAGUUCGGGAGAGGUGAGUGGAACUGCGAGUGUAGAGGUGAAAUUCGUAGAUAUUCGCAAGAACACCAGUGGCGAAGGCGGCUCACUGGCCCGAUACUGACGCUGAGGCACGAAAGCGUGGGGAGCAAACAGG
Molecule: ribosomal RNA, 253 nt
Filed under: uncultured bacterium
Lineage: Bacteria
Description: partial 16S ribosomal RNA
Rfam family: Bacterial small subunit ribosomal RNA
Source: RNAcentral